GACGAACCGUGCGAACGUUAUUCGGAAUCACUGGGCUUAAAGGGUGCGUAGGCGGGCUCCCAAGUCAGGGGUGAAAUCCCACGGCUCAACCGUGGAAGUGCCUCUGAUACUGGGGGCCUCGAGGGGUGCAGGGGCGUGCGGAACUCAGGGUGGAGCGGUGAAAUGCGUAGAUAUCCUGAGGAACACCGGUGGCGAAAGCGGCGCGCUAGACACCUUCUGACGCUGAGGCACGAAAGCCAGGGGAGCAAACAGG
This 253-nucleotide ribosomal RNA is filed under the name uncultured bacterium. RNAcentral describes it as "partial 16S ribosomal RNA". It matches the Rfam family "Bacterial small subunit ribosomal RNA", at positions 524 to 776 of the family's 1533-position model. The record is from RNAcentral.